AUUGAACGCUGGCGGCAUGCCUAACACAUGCAAGUCGAACGGCAGCACGGGUAGUUCCUCCUCUUGCCGAUUGCCGCAGGCGUGCGUAUUACAUCUGCAUAUGUCCCUUAUUUGUCGUUGGCCCGUCCGUAGCCGCAUUUAUACUACUUCCUAAUACCUCCUACAGGCGGGAGCCCUUGGUCCUCCGCGCUUUCGUGUUUGCCGAUGCCGGAUUAGCUAGUUGGUGGGGUAAAGGUCUACCAAGGCGACGACCAGUAGCUGGUCUGAGAGGACGAUCAGCCACACUGGAACUGAGACACGGUCCAGACUCCUACGGGAGGCAGCAGUGGGGAAUAUUGGACAAUGGGCGAAAGCCUGAUCCAGCAAUGCCGCGUGUGUGAAGAAGGCCUUCGGGUUGUAAAGCACUUUUGUUAGGAAAGAAAAACUGUGGGAUAAUACGGGCGGGGGAUGACGGUACCGAAAGAAUAAGCACCGGCUAACUACGUG
This 486-nucleotide ribosomal RNA is filed under the name uncultured bacterium. RNAcentral describes it as "partial 16S ribosomal RNA". It matches the Rfam family "Bacterial small subunit ribosomal RNA", at positions 30 to 507 of the family's 1533-position model. The record is from RNAcentral.